Gadus chalcogrammus (walleye pollock) is the source of this 378-nucleotide long non-coding RNA. RefSeq lists it as uncharacterized. NCBI's taxonomy places the organism in Eukaryota, Metazoa, Chordata, Actinopteri, Gadiformes, Gadidae. The transcript is spliced from 4 exons. The record is from RefSeq and is a predicted model, not a curated record.
UUUGACCCAGAAUCGGAUCCGGAUUACGAAUCACCUGAAGAAGUUGGUUCUCAGCGGCUACAGCAGGACGUCUCUGAAUGGUGCCGUUGUGGAAAAUGUGCGACCAUGCCCACAGAAGAGGAGAAUAUUUGCUGCAUGGAGAUACCGCAGGUUACUAGAAGACUACGGGAGGUCGAACUACAUCCAACGUGUAUGGUUGACCAUCCUGGAUUGGAGCCGGUCUGCCUAAAUGUUUACUCUAUUCAGAAUGCCAGCCAAAUAUAUAGAGCCGACUAUGGUCCUCUAAAUUUGAGAAGAAUACACAAUCGCUACAGGUAUCUCUCCUAUCGUUCCUUUGUGAGCUGGUGCUGGGGCCACCUGGGACGCAGUACCCGGGUU